CCCUUAGAUGUCCUGGGCUGCACGCGCGCUACACUGAUGUGUCCAGUAAGCACCUAACCUCUUCCGAAAGGAACGGGUAACCUUUGCAAAGCACAUCGUGAUGGGGAUAGAUUAUUGCAAUUAUUAGUCUUGAACGAGGAAUUCCUAGUAAGCACAAGUCAUCAGCUUGUGUUGAUUACGUCCCUGCCCUUUGUACACACCGCCCGUCGCUCCUACCGAUUGAAUGUUCCGGUGAGCUCUUCGGACUGCGCGGCCUGCAGUUUCUGCGUUCCGUGCGGAAGGUUGCGCAAACCUUAACAUUUAGAGGAAGGAGAAGUCGUAACA
Molecule: ribosomal RNA, 324 nt
Filed under: uncultured eukaryote
Lineage: Eukaryota
Description: partial 18S ribosomal RNA
Rfam family: Eukaryotic small subunit ribosomal RNA
Source: RNAcentral